This 73-nucleotide transfer RNA is filed under the name Procambarus clarkii (red swamp crayfish). RNAcentral's name for it is "transfer RNA valine (anticodon CAC)". It matches the Rfam family "tRNA". From Rfam's summary of the family: Transfer RNA (tRNA) molecules are approximately 80 nucleotides in length. Their secondary structure includes four short double-helical elements and three loops (D, anti-codon, and T loops). Further hydrogen bonds mediate the characteristic L-shaped molecular structure. tRNAs have two regions of fundamental functional importance: the anti-codon, which is responsible for specific mRNA codon recognition, and the 3' end, to which the tRNAs corresponding amino acid is attached (by aminoacyl-tRNA synthetases). tRNAs cope with the degeneracy of the genetic code in two manners: having more than one tRNA (with a specific anti-codon) for a particular amino acid; and 'wobble' base-pairing, i.e. permitting non-standard base-pairing at the 3rd anti-codon position. The record is from RNAcentral. Lineage: Eukaryota; Metazoa; Arthropoda; Malacostraca; Decapoda; Cambaridae.
GUUUCCGUAGUGUAGUGGUUAUCACGUGCGCCUCACACGCGCAAGGUCCCCGGUUCGAUUCCGGGCGGAAACA